CAGGCGGGCGGCGCUCGUCACGCGUACCCGCAGUCAUGAAUCCAAAGUGGUAAGCGCCCUCCCGAAGGUUAAGCUACCUACUUCUUUUGCAACCCACUCCCAUGGUGUGACGGGCGGUGUGUACAAGGCCCGGGAACGUAUUCACCGUAGCAUUCUGAUCUACGAUUACUAGCGAUUCCGACUUCAUGGAGUCGAGUUGCAGACUCCAAUCCGGACUACGACGCACUUUAUGAGGUCCGCUUGCUCUCGCGAGGUCGCUUCUCUUUGUAUGCGCCAUUGUAGCACGUGUGUAGCCCUACUCGUAAGGGCCAUGAUGACUUGACGUCAUCCCCACCUUCCCUCCAGUUAAAAGG
RNAcentral lists this ribosomal RNA (353 nucleotides) under Paenibacillus larvae. RNAcentral describes it as "partial 16S ribosomal RNA". The record is from RNAcentral. Lineage: Bacteria; Bacillati; Bacillota; Bacilli; Caryophanales; Paenibacillaceae.